RNAcentral lists this ribosomal RNA (473 nucleotides) under Goniobranchus sp. RUMF-ZM-11348. RNAcentral describes it as "partial large subunit ribosomal RNA". It matches the Rfam family "Bacterial large subunit ribosomal RNA", at positions 1817 to 2618 of the family's 2925-position model. The record is from RNAcentral. Lineage: Eukaryota; Metazoa; Mollusca; Gastropoda; Nudibranchia; Chromodorididae.
AGCCUUAGGCAAAGAUCUAAGGUUACACCUGCCCAAUGUACAAAGUUAUUAAUGGCCGCGGUACUUUGACCGUGCUAAGGUAGCGCAAUCAAUUGGCUCUUAAAUGGGGUCAGGAAUGAAUGGAGUUUAACGUGGUUAAGCUGUCUCUUAACUAAUUAAUUGAAGUUACUAUGUAGGUGAAAAAGCCUAUUGUAAGAAAAAGGACGAGAAGACCCUUAGAGUUUUACUUAAUGUGAGAGAUACUAAAGUAUUCAUACUGGUUUUGUUGGGGCAACAUAGGAGCAAUAACUAUAAUCUCCUAAAUUAUAACACACCGAAAUUUAUAAAUCUGAAUAAACUACCUUAGGGAUAACAGCAUAAUUUAAAAAAUAAGUUUGUGACCUCGAUGUUGGACUAGGAAACUUAAAGGCUAGCCGUCUUUAAGGAAAGUUCUGUUCGAACUAUUAUUCCUACAUGAUCUGAUUUUCAAACCG